Molecule: ribosomal RNA, 497 nt
Filed under: uncultured bacterium
Lineage: Bacteria
Description: partial 16S ribosomal RNA
Rfam family: Bacterial small subunit ribosomal RNA
Source: RNAcentral
GAUGAACGCUGGCGGCGUGCCUAAUACAUGCAAGUCGAGCGAACGGACGAGAAGCUUGCUUCUCUGAUGUUAGCGGCGGACGGGUGAGUAACACGUGGAUAACCUACCUAUAAGACUGGGAUAACUUCGGGAAACCGGAGCUAAUACCGGAUGAUAUUUUGAACCGCAUGGUUCAAAAGUGAAAGACGGUCUUGCUGUCACUUAUAGAUGGAUCCGCGCUGCACUAGCUAGUUGGUAAGGUAACGGCUUACCAAGGCAACGAUGCAUAGCCGACCUGAGAGGGUGAUCGGCCACACUGGAACUGAGACACGGUCCAGACUCCUACAGGAGGCAGCAGUAGGGAAUCUUCCGCAAUGGGCGAAAGCCUGACGGAGCAACGCCGCGUGAGUGAUGAAGGUCUUCGGAUCGUAAAACUCUGUUAUUAGGGAAGAACAUAUGUGUAAGUAACUGUGCACAUCUUGACGGUACCUAAUCAGAAAGCCACGGCUAACUACGUG